AGGAAUUUAGCUUAGUGGAAUAAGCACCUGCCUUGCAAGCACGUGGUCAUGAGUUCAAUUCCCG
Molecule: transfer RNA, 64 nt
Filed under: Cavia porcellus (domestic guinea pig)
Lineage: Eukaryota; Metazoa; Chordata; Mammalia; Rodentia; Caviidae
Rfam family: tRNA
About the family: Transfer RNA (tRNA) molecules are approximately 80 nucleotides in length.
Source: Rfam by way of RNAcentral